RNAcentral lists this long non-coding RNA (5340 nucleotides) under Canis lupus familiaris (dog). RNAcentral's name for it is "lncRNA (ENSCAFG00000051447.1)". The record is from RNAcentral. Lineage: Eukaryota; Metazoa; Chordata; Mammalia; Carnivora; Canidae.
GGGGGCGCCACGACGGAGCGCUUGGGGCGCGCAGACUCCCGCGAGCCCGAGGGACCCCGGCGCUGGCUUCAGCGAGCAGAGUGACGGGCGCGGGGGAGCGGGCGGCCGGUCCCCCUCGCCUCCGGGCAGCGCUGCGUUUCUAGGGCCCCCCGUCGCACUCUUCCCCCCUCGAGGGCUCCGGGGAGGCCCUGCCGCCGCCGUCCCGCCCUCGUCCCCGAUCGCGCACACUUAAGGGCCGCGAGGCGCCUGCUGCCCCGUCAGCCUUGCGGCCUCCGCCCCGCGGCUCAGCAGUCGGCUCCGCAGGCCCGGCGGACGUGGCCGCCCCACACCCCACACGGCUCACCUGGUUGCCGCAGGCCAGGGCCCGCUCGGGGGGCUUUGCGAGCUGGUGGUCCUGAGGGCGUGCAGCAGAGCUGGAGGAGAAGAGACAGAGACAGAGAGAGAGAGAGGCAGAGGCACAGGCAGAGGGAGAAGCAGGCACCAUACAGAGAGCCCAACGUGGGACUCGAUCCAGGGCCCCCAGGAUCACGCCCCGGGCCUAAACCGCUGCACCACCGGAGCUGCCCAAGGUUAAAGUUGGUCACAAUAAAUUUGGGGAGACAAGCCUUGAGAAUCGAGAUCCAACAUGGAAAAUAAGAUGAAUUGACUUCCCAGGCUGCAUGAGUAUUCACAUUUCUCAUUUGCAAUGGGUUUGUUUCUUCUUAUGACCUCAAAAUGCAUUGAGGAACUUAGGGAAAACUAUAUGGCAUUCUUUAGGUUUUCCUUAUCAUCACUAAGUGAAAUAGCAUCAAAAUAUUUUUAGAAAAGUGGCAGCAUCUGGCAUACAGUAUCAAUAAUCUUAUCAUAGAUCCACUGAGGCUCCCACUUUACUGUCAAUUUCGUUCGCAUUCACAGUUUUAGCAUUACAGCUAACUAUUUUUUUAGUUGAUGAUCUGCAACCCUUUGCCUGAGCUAUAGGCAGGCACUUUGGUGGGGGGUUGGGGGGGGACGAGAAUCUUCAUAUCAUCAUUAACAAAUGCUUUACUAGUUUCUUUAUUUGGCCAUCAGGUGCUUCAGAAUAGGCCAGUUUGGGAGGAAUUUUCUUGGCAUAUUUUUAAUUUGUAUCUUGAUUUUUGGAGGUAAAUUUGUCAUUUUUAAUUGCUGCCGGAGGCAUUUUGUUGAAGGAUUCCUUUUUGGUUCCUUCAUCUUCGUCAUCUGCUUCAUCUUCUUUAUAAGUAUCAUUUCCUGAUAUUUCUGUAGCUUUAGAAGAAUUUGCAUCUAUUAUUUCUCAUCCUCUUCAUAAUUUCCUCAAUCCUAUUUUUUCUUUCCAGUCUUUCCAGCAGAUUCUCUCUCGAAGAUCUGAGCAGUGUAUCCCAUGACCACCUAAAUACCCCUUGCCCCUCACUGAUCCAUUUUCUCCACUUAUGUUCUGGGUGCAGCUCUUCUACAAUUCCUCUAGACUUCUCUUCCUGAGCUAAACCUUAGAAGAAGGAGAUUACUAGGACAGACUACACCCCCAUCACUCAGUUGGUCUCAGGGCUGCAACUGCUAUUCAUCCUCCUCCUCUAGUACCCAUUCCAAAUCCUACUGUUUUACCAGUAGUAGCUUACCUAGGUGUGACCCAAAUCCUUAUUCCUAAAGAGAAUGCGUGGUUAUUGGCAACUGUAUCCUUUUCAGGCAGGGAUUCCUGCACAUGUCCUCCCACAUCUCCAAUUACAUAUUAAGAGACUUCCAAGGGUUCCAAGGGAAUCACCUAGGAUCCACAUAUAUUUUUCCCCAUCCAUUAUAUGAAAGCAGCCCUUCCUCUUCCUGUUGAUCUAGGUCACUUGCCCCUACCAAGUUGGGGACUCCUCUUCUUGCCUGCUGGGGGCCAGACACAAAAAGUCCAAAGUGCGCAAACAGUAGCCAUAGUGUAUAGUUCAGUGGGACUCUAAUUGUGUUCCUUGACAAAAAUGCACUUCCUUUGGGGACCAGGAAUCCUAAACUUGCAAAGCCCAGAGUUGUGAGAACAGGAAGCACAAUGACUCGUUGAGAUAUUAAGUGGGGCCACUUCUGCUCCCCCCACUUUGUUCCUGGACCCACAUAUUCUUCCUGUUAGGGGCAAUGCCAAUCAGAUGUCUCCGAUUUAGUGGACAUACUGCAUCCUGAAGGAUGAUAUGCAAUCCUUACAGAAUAUUGCCUCUAAACUGACACUUCAGCUGUGCUUUCAGUAGGUUGUCUAGCGCUCUUAACAGGCUGGCUGCUUCUGGGUAGUGCAGUGGGUGAUAAAACCAGUAGAUGCAUUGGUCACAAGCUUUACACCCACAUCACCUUUACUGUGCAGUAGUUCCGCUGUUUGGAUGUACUGUUGAGUUAAAUCCCAUGCCAGCGGAUAGGGCCUUCUGUAAGCUCCUAGAUAGUAGUAUAGGCUGAGGCUCUGCAGGCAAAAUAGGCAAAUCCAUACCCAGAAUAGGUAUCUAUCCAUGUUAGGAUGAAGUAUUGGUCACUACAGAACGGAAGGGCCUCAGUGUUGUUGACUUGCCACCAAAUGGCUCGUUUAUCUCAAGUAAAAUGCCUUAUCAGGGACUCAGUGUUAGUCUCUGUUGCUAGCAAGUUAGACCUCCAGAGAUAGAAGCAAUUAGAUUGGUCUUGGAAGGGGAAUUCACGCUGUUGGGCUCAUGUGUAGCCUCUAUCUCUGCAAAUGUGGCCAUUCCAUUCAGGUGCGCAUUGUGCCAGUUUGGGGGAGGCCAUGACAAAGCUUGGCUAACAUCAACUGGAGAAUCUUUUUAUCUACUUGAUUGUUUCAUACCCUUUCCAAUGUUGGAAUAAACGUGAUACAAACAUCUUCACCUUUUGUGACCACUCUAUUAUGUCUGUCCACAUGCCUCUACUCCAGACUUCCAUGUCUCCAAUCUUCCAGGCUUUUCCUUUAAAACCCUGACCAGCUGGCCAGGCCAUGGCCACUGCCCAGUCAACUAUAUAAAUUCCCAUCAGGGGUACUUAUUCUUUCAUACAAGAAAGUCUUUCAUGACCAACUAUACUGCUUGAAGCUCUGCCCACUAGGAAGAUUUUCCCUCUCUAUUGUCUUUUAGGGACACCACUGAAUAUGGCUGUAAUGUGCUGCCAUCCACUUUAUAGUUUCCACCCAUACACCAAGCCAACCCAUUCAUAACCAAGCUUGAGCUUUUUUUCUCCUCCCUUACCUGGCCAGACAGCCAGAGGAAGGGGUGCUAGUGGGUCAUAUGGGGGUGGGGCUACUAGCUUAUGCGGUUAACUCAUGCCUUGGGAUUUUAUUUUGAAUGCAUCAUUUCCAUAUUACGAUGAACUGCUGCUAGGCCCAUCAACUUUAUGACUAGGAAAGUCUCACAGAAUUCAGCUCAUGAUGGCAGUUCUAGACACAUAGUAACUUGGUGCCUCAUGGUCAAGCUUUCUGCCUCUAAUGGGGCCCAGGACUAUGCCAGCGGCUGUUCCUUGAAAGGAGUAAAAUCUUCUGCUACAGAUGGCCUGACCUUGCUCCAAAAUCCCAGAAGACUAUAUUGUGAUCUCCUAUUGGGACUUGCUUUAAAUUCCACACUGCCUGCUGCAGAGCCCAUUGCUGUUUCCGACUACUUAGAACUGGCAACCUUUCAUAUACCCCAGGAUAUGAGCCAGAAUGGUAUUCCUAGGUGUGAAAUUUGUGCUUUUGGAAUCCAAAGAGGCCCACCAGACAUUGUGCUUCAUUAGUAGGAAAUGCAAGAUACAGAAGUUUGUCUUUUACUCUGGAGGGGAUGUCUUCACAUGUCACUGACUAUUGGGCCUCAAAAUUUUACUGAAUCUUCUUAGAGUUUAUCUCUCACCCUCUGGAUACAUGUAUCUUACCAAGGCCUCUAGCAUGCACGUCAUGUCUUACUCAUUCUACCCAUCAGUAUAUUAUUGGUAUAAUAUUUCAGUGUAAUGUUCUACGGAAUGUCCAGACAGUCCAGAUCUCUUCAGACUGUAUUAUAAUAGAGGGCAGACGAAUUAACAUAGUCCUUGGACAAAAGUGGAAAUAAAUAUGACCUCUUCUACAUGAAUGUUAAUUGCUUCUUAUCCUUAUUUCUGGUUGGAAUAUAAAAGAGCACAUUCAACAAAUAUGUGGCCACAUAUCAAGUACCUGAAUCCUUAUUAAUCUGCCCUAGCAAUCAAUUAUAGCAUGUCCAACACAGCUCGAAUUGGACUACUAGUUGGUUAAGCUAGCUGUGGUAGUCUAUGUUCACACUGUAGGAUGCACAGUGGCACUAAUCACCCCCAUCAACCCCGGGACACUGUCAUUUUUUAUUAUGUUAACCGGGGUGGCCAACAAUUUCAAAGGCUCCCAGUUAGCCUUCCUGACUAUGUUAGCUCUUAUCUAACAGCCUAAGGACCCAAUACUUCAGCUGCCAAUUACAUCUAUUGCAACUAUAUAUUUAGGUAUCAGGGAAAUGACCAGCAAGUAGGCCUGCAGACCUAUGUGAAUUCUCUGUAAGCCUGACUUUAAUUAGGACUAAAAAGUUGCUUCUGUAAGCCCCGGCUUAUAGAACCCAGGAACCCAUGGCAUGAUGAUGAUACUCUGAGUCUCCAGUUAUCAAACUCUGCUUAUAACCUGGGUCCAAACAGCUCCUUGAAAUGACUGGGCAUCUCCCUUUCCCCCCAUGGUAAGUGUCCUACUCAAGUAAAUGUCCUGGGUCCCUUUGAGGAAUGGGGAAAAAUCAUAAUAUAUACUUUCCACAGUGUUGCAGAGUCCUUCUCCUAGGGAUUCAGCCACUUAUUUAGUUGUGGACUCCAGAUCUGAAAAUUGGCUCAAAUUCAGGAAUUGAGCAACAUAUGACUUUUUAGUGAGAUAACUUCCCCUCUAUUCUUCCCUGCUUCUGAUCAUAGAUGUUAAGCUGCACCCUUAUUAGCUGCUUAUCUAUUUUACCCCUAAGGUAAGGUGAACAAUUUGUCCCAGUUUUUUGUAAGUUCCAAGAGAGGUACUCUUGCUCUCACACUUAGGCUUUAACUGUUCAUAAACAGGCCUUAAUUUCUCAUUCUCUUUCUGCAGGGCAUCAGUAUGACUUAAUAACUAGCUAACUCCACUGUCUUUCUAGGCAUUGCUCUCCCCAUGUCUUUCAGACACCUGAACCAUUAUACAGGCAAGGAUGCUCCCCACAUUGGGAGAAAACUGUAAUUUGUUUUGUUUGCCCUUUACCAAUUGUUUUUGCCAUUUUGAAAAAUUACAUCAGCAGCGGCAACACUGACUUGAUAUUUGAAUCACCAAUACAAUAUACCUGCAUCUGAAUUUGUGCCAUAUAUACAUAUAUAUGUAUAUAUGUAUAUAUAUAUGAAUAUGCUUUUUAACCUUUAUUUCAAAAUAUAAAUGUAAAUAAAAUUGCUAUCAUACUCCUU